This 1405-nucleotide ribosomal RNA is filed under the name metagenome. Its description in RNAcentral is "bacterial LSU rRNA". It matches the Rfam family "Bacterial large subunit ribosomal RNA", at positions 1518 to 2925 of the family's 2925-position model. The record is from RNAcentral.
UGUGAGGCUUGUGUGUAGGCAAAUCCGCACACUUUAAGGCCAGGCUGUGAUGGGGAGGGAAAAUUACAGUACCGAAGGUCAUGUGUUCCCGCUGCCAAGAAAAGCCUCUAGCCAGGUGAUGGUGCCCGUACCGCAAACCGACACAGGUAGUCGAGCAGAGUAUGCUAAGGCGCUCGGAAGAACUCUCGUUAAGGAACUCGGCAAAAUGACCCCGUAACUUCGGGAGAAGGGGUGCCUCGGUAGGGUGAAUAGCCCGAGGGGGCCGCAGUGAAAAGGCCCAAGCGACUGUUUAGCAAAAACACAGGUCUGUGCGAAGCCGUAAGGCGAAGUAUACGGGCUGACGCCUGCCCGGUGCUGGAAGGUUAAGAGGAGUGGUUAGCCGCAAGGCGAAGCUAUGAAUUGAAGCCCCAGUAAACGGCGGCCGUAACAAUAACGGUCCUAAGGUAGCGAAAUUCCUUGUCAGGUAAAUUCUGACCCGCACGAAUGGCGUAACGACUUGGGCGCUGUCUCAACGAGAGAUCCGGUGAAAUUUUAAUACCUGUGAAGAUGCAGGUUACCCGCGACAAGACGGAAAGACCCCAUGGAGCUUUACUGCAGCUUGAUAUUGAACUUUGGUACGAUCUGUACAGGAUAGGUGGGAGCCUUGGAAACCGGAGCGCCAGCUUCGGUGGAGGCAACGUUGGGAUACCACCCUGAUCGUAUCGGAGUUCUAACCUGGUACCGUAAUCCGGUACAGGGACCGUGUCAGGUGGGCAGUUUGACUGGGGCGGUCGCCUCCUAAAAUGUAACGGAGGCGCCCAAAGGUUCCCUCAGAAUGGUUGGAAAUCAUUCGUAGCGUGUAAAGGCAUAAGGGAGCUUGACUGCGAGACCUACAAGUCGAGCAGGGACGAAAGUCGGGCUUAGUGGUCCGGUGGUACCGAAUGGAAGGGCCAUCGCUCAACGGAUAAAAGCUACCCUGGGGAUAACAGGCUUAUCUCCCCCAAGAGUCCACAUCGACGGGGAGGUUUGGCACCUCGAUGUCGGCUCAUCGCAUCCUGGGGCUGAAGUAGGUCCCAAGGGUUGGGCUGUUCGCCCAUUAAAGCGGUACGCGAGCUGGGUUCAGAACGUCGUGAGACAGUUCGGUCCCUAUCUGUCGUGGGCGUAGGAAAUUUGAGAAGAGCUGUCCUUAGUACGAGAGGACCGGGAUGGACGCACCGCUGGUGUACCAGUUGUUCCGCCAGGAGCACCGCUGGGUAGCCAAGUGCGGACGGGAUAAGCGCUGAAAGCAUCUAAGCGUGAAGCCCCCUUCAAGAUGAGAUUUCCCAGUAUGUAAGACCCCUGAAAGACGAUCAGGUUGAUAGGUUCGAGGUGGAAGUGCAGCAAUGCAUGCAGCUGACGAAUACUAAUCGGUCGAGGGCUUAUCUAA